RNAcentral lists this ribosomal RNA (345 nucleotides) under Cherax monticola. Its description in RNAcentral is "partial 12S ribosomal RNA". Lineage: Eukaryota; Metazoa; Arthropoda; Malacostraca; Decapoda; Parastacidae. The record is from RNAcentral.
ACUUGAAUAUUAGUAGUUAUGGUCUUUAAAUUCAAAGAAUUUGGCGGUAUUUUAGUCUUGUUAGAGGAACCUGUUCUGUAAAUGAUACAACACGAAGAAUCUUACUUACUCUUGUUUAACAGUUUGUAUACCGUCAUUAUUAGAUAACCUUUGUUGGGGAAGUUAUUGAAAUUUAAGAAGUUAAAGUAUAUUAGAUCAAGGUGCAGUUUAUGGGUAAGAAGAAAUGGGUUACAAUAAAAUUUAUUUAUACGGAUCAGCGAUUGAAUAGUUUCUGUGAAGGAGGAUUUAAUUGUAACAUAUAAUUUAAUAAGUUAGUGUGAUAUGAGAACUAAAAUAUGUACACAU